Molecule: ribosomal RNA, 442 nt
Filed under: uncultured bacterium
Lineage: Bacteria
Description: partial 16S ribosomal RNA
Rfam family: Bacterial small subunit ribosomal RNA
Source: RNAcentral
CCUACGGGAGGCAGCAGUGGGGAAUAUUGCACAAUGGGGGAAACCCUGAUGCAGCGACGCCGCGUGAGUGAAGAAGUAUUUCGGUAUGUAAAGCCCUAUCAGCAGGGAAGAAGAAAUGACGGUACCUGAGUAAGAAGCACCGGCUAAAUACGUGCCAGCAGCCGCGGUAAUACGUAUGGUGCAAGCGUUAUCCGGAUUUACUGGGUGUAAAGGGAGCGCAGGCGGCACGGCAAGCCUGAUGUGAAAGCCCGCGGCCCAACCGCGGGACUGCAUUGGGAACUACCGGGCUGGAGUGCCGGAGAGGUAGGCGGAAUUCCUAGUGUAGCGGUGAAAUGCGUAGAUAUUAGGAGGAACACCAGUGGCGAAGGCGGCUUACUGGACUGUAACUGACGUUGAGGCUCGAAAGCGUGGGGAGCAAACAGGAUUAGAUACCCCAGUAGUC